GGCAUUGAUCAAUGUAUCAUCAUAUGACCAUCUUGUUGUGCCCUUUAGAUCAAUGCUCAGGUUGGCUAAGCCACACUCAGGCCUGGAUAUUUGUUUGUUGGAUGUGUUUGGUGUAGUUAUGUUAAUGGUUGGAUCUAACCAAGAUUUUUAGUAGAGGAGCCACACACCUGUUGAAGAGAGACCUUGGGCAAAACCUAAUUGCUAGAAGUUGUUUAGAGAAAUAAUUGGUUAUGAACUUAUCCAUAGAUGCACUA
Molecule: long non-coding RNA, 254 nt
Filed under: Elaeis guineensis (African oil palm)
Lineage: Eukaryota; Viridiplantae; Streptophyta; Magnoliopsida; Arecales; Arecaceae
Description: long non-coding RNA (EGUI_LNC064995)
Source: RNAcentral